RNAcentral lists this unclassified non-coding RNA (200 nucleotides) under soil metagenome. Its description in RNAcentral is "partial contains internal transcribed spacer 2 and large subunit ribosomal RNA". The record is from RNAcentral.
GUUCGAGCGUCAUUACAACCCUCAAGCUUAGCUUGGUAUUGGGCUCCGCUACUUAUCUAGCGGACCUUAAAAUCAGUGGCGGUGUCGUUGAGGCCCUGAGCGUAGUAAAUAUCCUCGCUAUAGGGCCCGGCGGUUACUAGCAUCAACACCAAUCUUUUUAGUUUGACCUCGGAUCAGGUAGGGAUACCCGCUGAACUUAA